Setaria italica (foxtail millet) is the source of this 1877-nucleotide long non-coding RNA. RefSeq lists it as uncharacterized. The record is from RefSeq and is a predicted model, not a curated record. The transcript is spliced from 3 exons. NCBI's taxonomy places the organism in Eukaryota, Viridiplantae, Streptophyta, Magnoliopsida, Poales, Poaceae.
GUUGCCAACUCCAUGGAGUUUUGGAGUUGGGGUGUUUAGCUGAAUUUGUUGAUAGAGUUGCUGGAGUUUAGGAGUGGAGUCGUGCCAAACAGGGCCUAAGACUAUUUACAACUUAGGAGCGUUAUUAUAUGCGUAAUGAUAGCAACAACGAGAUAGACAUCGACUAUUGGGCUGCAUUUUGUCGAUUUCCUUGGCUAAUAUCCUACUACACAACUUGAUAAAUCAUUCUUGGGAGAAAACCAUUCAAAAGAGAAAAAAAAAUCUCGGGAAACGGACAUCACUCGUGCGAAAAUAAUUCGAAAACGUGCCCCGAUAUACGAGAUUUUUUGUUACGGUUUUCAUUCCCACGUUUAAUAUUGCAUUUUGUCCGGUUGGUAUUAGGAGCAUCGGCAUCAACAUCAUCAUCGGCUCUCCCAUUGAACACAGAAGUCUUAGAAGACAUCCUUGCACCAAGCCGACAGCCGUCGUCUAGCCAAGAAAAUAUUUCGGAAAAACCAUCAGCUGAGGAAGAAUCAAUUCAAUGAGAAACAACCCCAUCGGCCAUGGAAUGACCAAAUCCAAGGAUAAAAGCCGACGAGGAAGACCCCAAGCCGAAACUAAGCAGCAAAAAGCUCCUGUCUAGGCCAUCAAUCCAUCAACAUAGGCUCUUUUCUCAUUCAACGUAGAAGAAUAUGCAAAUGAGGAACAAAUCAGCUCGAGCCAUCCAUCACAAGAUCAACCAGAUAUCCGAGAUCAUCUACCGGCUAUUCUAUAGUUACUUCAUCAAGAUACAUCCAUCUUGCUAGAAGAUGCCUAGCCGAUCCAGAUGCUAUGCAAGCAGAUUAGGACCCCAUUGUCUGAUGACUUGGUAGCAGCACUGACUCCUGCGUCUUUUAUUGAAUCGCAUGGCUUCCAAGUCCAGGAAGCCAGAAAGCGCAUAUCGGAUCGGCAAGCUAAUCAACAUGCUGCCACCCAACUGGAUGCCAAUCGGCUAAAGGCCAAUGAGCUAAAUCAAGAAGUUGAUGGGCUUAUCACAUCCCUAUCUAUCGAAGAACAGAAGUUCAAGACCUUAUAGGCCAAACGGGAUCAACUGAUGCAUGAGCUAAGUCAAGUAAAUCAAGAAAUCACAGCAACCAAGGGCAAUAUCAAUGGCUAUCCUGAUGAGGACAACCUUUAGUUGAUAGAGAUUCGCCUGCGUGCGGUACAAGCCAUUGAAAGGACCCUAUAAAAGAACAAUUAAUUCUCUUUGAAUUUGUUCAUAACUUGUGUGCAAUUAUUUUAUCCUUCAAUAUUAUCUUUACUUUUCCUGAACUGACCUAAUGAAUCUUUUUACUACUUUAGGCCAAGCCAGUCGUCACGAGAAUACUAUUGCCCCUGGCGAGUUGUAAAGGUUGAAAGAUUCCUGUUAUUAUUCCUCACGAGCCCUUUGUAUUGUUUUGGCCGCAUAUCAUCAUACUUGCCAUAAAUAGACCACCAGCACUAGCAACUUCCCUGACUCAAGAACAUGGCUCAAAGGAUAGAACUCAUAGGCUGGAAGCUCGUAGUAUUUGAUACUCAUAGAAGACCCAAAUCCAUCAGAUGCUAGAAGAAUUCUCGUGAAAUAGAAUAAGAUGCUUCUUCCCUUCACAUCCUCUUCUGUGAAAUAUGGAAGUUACGAUGCAAGAAGAAUCCUCAUGACGUACCUCCAUUACCAUCUCCAGCGAGCUCCUCGAAGAUGCCGUGAUAGAAGGACAACAUCUCUUGUCAAACUUGCACUUUCUUUUGUAUUUUCUUUUUAUUUUUGUUAUAAAGGCGAUAUCCCACGAUAUCAGCUAUCUAGAAACGCUGAGUGUAAUCAUUGGCUUCUGUAAUCCAGUACUUAUGAAAAAGCUCACACGAUAAAGCUUUUCUUGUUAUGC